Molecule: long non-coding RNA, 1139 nt
Organism: Siniperca chuatsi (mandarin fish)
Lineage: Eukaryota; Metazoa; Chordata; Actinopteri; Centrarchiformes; Sinipercidae
Exons: 3
Source: RefSeq, a predicted model, not a curated record
AGGUGCUGGCUGCAAGAGAAGGUGUAGAACUACGCUCUUUUCUGCAUGCGAAGACCAUUUUUGGAUGUGUUGAGUACCAACAUCAGGUCCCUGUGCAUGUUUUGUUUCAGUGUUUGGAGAAAAAAAAAAUCUGCUGUCUUAUUUUACCGUCCACAAAAGUCUCGCAUUUUGUAGUUUUCCUAGAAUAGUAUAUUUAUUUAUUUGUUUUAAUUGAGUAAUUCAUUUCUGUAAAAAACAACAACAACAAGUUAGCUCAAAGGCUGGUAAAGCUCUGCAUGUAUUACGUAUGUUUUGAGUAAUAUAAAUGGUGUAUAGUUACAAAAAAUCUGAAUCAAUUUUUUUGGUGAUACCAAUUCAUGCAGGCACUUGAGGGUCUAAUAAACACUAAUACUCAAUAUUUUCAAUAGUUUUUCGUUAUUUGACUAUUUUACACAAUAGGCCAUUUCCAGUUAGGCCCUAUGCAACUUCCAAGUCAUCAAAUUUCAUCCUGAGUAAGAAUAUCCACUCACACUAAUCCAAAUUAAUUUCCAGAUUCUGAGAAUGGAUCCACUCCAGCAGAGGACGGCCACCGCUUCAACACUCAGCUCUUUCCUUAAGAGCUUAUUCAGACCAAAUCAGGCGUUGCAGCGAUUAGCCACAGGAUUGUGUGGUGGUGUGUGGGGGUGUGGGCAUGUUUAUUUGUGCUUAAGAACGUAACCACUGUGAAACAGAAAAUAACGUUUUAUUCCUCUGAUUCACCGGUUUUCUCACUACUGGCCCUACCUCUUUCCAUUCACUCUCUAGGUUGCUUGACCACCGCUGUCUCUCUCAAACAAAUGAACACAAACCAAAGGAAGCUUCUUGGUAUCGCUAUUUUUCAGCAUAGACUGCAAGCCAGACACAGACGUCGAAGCUGGGUACACGAAAUAAACCAAAGGUUCAUGAGGAGUCUAGGUGCUGGAGGAUGAAGUGAAGGGCCAUGUUUACUGCAUCGUCUACACACCUGUUGGCUCUAUCGGCGAACUGCAGGGGGCCCAGGAGUGGAUCUGUGAUGGAUUUGAGGUGGGACAUCACAAGGCGCUCAAAAGACGUCAGGGCGAUGGUUCGCCUACCAGCCCUGGCUGGGAGUUGAGGACGCCUUCAUCUUCCUGCUGAACCGC